CAUAAGGUAUUACAGGCAUGUUUUUGCACACCUCUCAUGUGCGAGUGGGCAUGGCCUCCUUCACAGUUAAGUUUUGGCUGAUUGUGCUCAAAUUUUGUAAGUACCUACAUGUAAAGGGAUGUAGGUAGAUACAGUUACAAUACAAUACAAUACAAUACAAUUUUAUUAGGUCCCUCCAUUACAUGGGUUUUGUGUCGUCGGGCACUCUUCUUAAUUCAGUUUUGUGCACCACUUCCUGCUUUCACCAUGCUGUGCCCACUCUGCUUUACAGUGGACAGCUGCUUCUGUGACACACAUUAAUCUUGCGUUCAUUGAAACACUUAGUUUUGAGUGUUUUGACUCAGUUUUGUUGUAACGUUACCUGUGUUUAUAUUUUCAAUAACUUGUUUUGGGCUUCUCAUAUUUAUCUUUUUUUCUUGGCUUAGCAGGUUUAGUGUAAAACAAGUUUUAGCUGACAUUUUACAUGUUAAGAUUACAUGAGUGCAUACAUUUUAUAAAAGCUAUUUCAAAGUACUGUAGCCAUGUGUAACAUGCAUAUGUCUUAGUGAAUGACUACUCAGCAUGCUGCUUGGUGCUCAAUGGUAAUAGUUUGAUUUGUUUUUGACAUCAAGUAAGAUUUGAUUUUUGUUUCUGAGAUUCCAAAUUCCAAUGUUAUUGGUGGCAAAUAUUUUCCAAAAAUCCUCCAUCUAAAGCUUCAACUGAAUUCUAAAAUGCCUGCAUUUUCUACCAGAAACAUUAUCAUUGAUACCUCCUACAAUAUUUCAUUUUGUCACCAGGUACCUGGACUGGUGAAAAGUGAAAACUGAAAUUCAUUCAUGUCACCAUUAUCCUAUGACCUACCCCUAAAUGGAAUUGAUCUUGCUUCACAAAUGAGUUGUACAUUGUACAAUGUCUAUCAGCUGAUGUCUAUUGUCUAUCUCUCUUUCAGCACAGAAGAUCCUCAGUCAUAGUUAACAAAAUGGAAAAAAUUAGCUGUGUUUUUAAGAUUCCAGUGGUGGCCAUCAACUGCUCAGGAAAGCAGCCCAGAAUCACUUCACAACAGGUUUCCAAAGGAUCAUCAUUCAUCAGCACAGAAGGGUGGGAAAGAGAAGGCUGUUCAAAUUCUAAAAAGCCAGAGCUGCAAAGGAGGUCAAAGAUGCAGUGCAGUUGGCCCACUCAGUAGAGUUUCACUAGUGGUUCUGAUGUGGACUGAAGAUUACACGCUGGAUUGAAGUGGCCGGUCUGGAGCAGCUGUAGUUCAUCAUUCUUGCUGAUUGUGGACGAGUAAGAGCCCGCGUUGGCCCCGAUCGGCGAUCGCUGGCCAAAGCCCACCACCAGUUUGGUGAUAGGCGUUGGCUGUGAUAUCUAGUGUCGCCUAUGUGUGAAAAGGACAAGUUGAUAACAAAACCUGUUGCGCCAUGUUAUUAACCCGCGCCCGGGUGGCCCUCAGCCAACUUGGUGGGGGGGGGGGGAGGUGUAUUCGGCCACACCAGGUUAUCUUGGAAUGUAGCAAAGCUGGAAAGACGCAGUAAAAUCAAUCUAUAGAUCGCUAUUUUUCUUCAGAAUCAUACAGGUCAUUUUUGAUCAGGUCAUCGCUGAGGUCACUGGAGGUCACCAAAAGUAAAAUGAUGACGAAUUUUGGCCCCCGAUUUUGACAACUUCACAAAUUGGUUCAUAAUUCGGGAACCAAAGAAGCUACAGCGCCGCGGAAAAGCGAAUUCGAUAGCUCUUUCGAAAAUCUUUCAGGUUGUCAGAUUUGAGCUAAGGUCAACUAGGGUUAAGCCUCCAAAGGGCAAAAACUGAACAAUCGGCUUGCUUCGGAAGUCGUCUUUUCUUUCUUUUUUUUUUAACUGAUACCAACCUUUUAUUACGUUGAUUUUACCAGCACUGCGUUUCUCUCGUCUUCUUGGCCUAACAAGGUCAGCUUAAUAAAUUUGACCUCAGGUCAAUGUCGCAGAAAAUGCCAUUUUGCAUGUCAUUGAUUCGUUACAUUGAAAUUGAGAUUAACAUCAGUAGCGGCGGAACACCUUCAAUUAAGGGGGCAUUGCCGACUUUUGGUCUCAUUCUUUCCAUGCAACGCCCAUAGGGCUAAUGUUAAAAUGCCGAAAUCAAAGGGGGCACGGUGCCCCGGUGCCCUCGGCCUGUUCCGCCGCCUAUGAUUAUGAUGCUUUUAGCGCUCUGGCCACGUUCCAUCUAAAAUCGAUGUACAAAAAUAAACUGUUGGGAGGCGUUACAUGACCUGAGAUGACCUCAGGAGCAUACGAUAGAUCCCGAUGCUUGAGUGCUUUUGUUUCAAAAGCAGAACAUUUCGAGUUCCUCAUACUGACUGAAACUGGAGACGUCGCAAAGCUGACCUGACCCUAGGUCACCACCGAUAUCAAAAUUAAAGAUAUUCAAGAUGUUGGUACUGAUUCUCUCAUGCAAUAGCUCGAGUUUCAAACUUCUACUUCAUGGUGACCUGACCUGACCUUAGGUGACAUGGGGUUACUUUUUUCACAAUUGAUGCGAAUCGAUGCAUUAUACAUAAGCUAUACUAAGUUUCGUGUCGUUUUAUCUAUGCAAGCACAAAAUUGUCAGGUGUGACCAAAAACGCCCCCACGGCCCACCCACCUGGGGAACGUUAAAGCAGUGAUGUAUUUUUUCGGUGUAUUCCACGAUGCAUCGAUCGGUGUACUUGAUAAUGCAUUAUUUAUUGCUGCGUGUGUACGCUUUUCUUCUGUUCAGUGUGAUCUGUGAUAGGAAAACUACCGAUAUAUCUCCACGCGCAUGACUGAAAGAGCUGGCGUGAUCUAUAAUAUUGGGUGUCUGUUUUUGUUUGGCAUUUUAUAAAUAAUGAGUCAGC
Molecule: long non-coding RNA, 2821 nt
Organism: Amphibalanus amphitrite
Lineage: Eukaryota; Metazoa; Arthropoda; Thecostraca; Balanomorpha; Balanidae
Exons: 2
Source: RefSeq, a predicted model, not a curated record